GUAGGUGGCAAGCGUUGUCCGGAAUUAUUGGGCGUAAAGCGCGCGCAGGUGGGUUCUUUAAGUCUGAUGUGAAAGCCCCCGGGCUCAACCGGGGAGGGUCAUUGGAAACUGGGGAACUUGAGUGCAGGAGAGGAAAGUGGAAUUCCACGUGUAGCGGUGAAAUGCGUAGAUAUGUGGAGGAACACCAGUGGCGAAGGAGACUUUCUGGCCUGUAACUGACACUGAGGCGCGAAAGCGUGGGGAGCAAACAGGAUUAGAUACCCUGGUAGUCCACGCCGUAAACGAUGAGUGCUAAGUGUUGGGGGGUUUCCGCCCCUCAGUGCUGCAGCUAACGCAUUAAGCACUCCGCCUGGGGAGUACGGUCGCAAAGACUG
RNAcentral lists this ribosomal RNA (374 nucleotides) under uncultured organism. RNAcentral describes it as "partial 16S ribosomal RNA". It matches the Rfam family "Bacterial small subunit ribosomal RNA", at positions 527 to 896 of the family's 1533-position model. The record is from RNAcentral.